GGGUCCGCGUCCCACCGCGGACCCCGCCUCCGGGAAGGCGCUCCGCGUCCCUCUUCCGCCUCCGGCGGCCGGGUGGGGAAAGCGAAGUAGCGAUUUUCUGCAUUACCUUUACACAGGGUCGCCAUCUAGUGACAGCAGGAUAUACUGCUGCGUUCGACGCGAAGCCGGCCGACGCAACAAGUUUGGAACAUUCUGAAUACCUCACGUGCAAAGACACACCUCCGGUCUGAAAGGCCUUUACAGUCCCGGUGGACAGAGACUGAGGUCUCCCUGGACGAGCGCGCACGCACCCGGCUGGAAUGCUUUCUCCCUCCCUGGUGCGGCUGUACCCGCACACCGGGCUGAAAGCCUCCUGCGCCCCGCACCACAGCGUGUCAGUGUCUCCCCUGCCCAGGUGAGCUGCCGGUGGGUCCUCCACUGAGGCAGAAACAGGACUGCCCGUCACUCCCAGCUGAUGGCUGAGGUCUCAGAGAGCAACAGAGACAGUGUCAGGGGUGCAGAGUGAGUGCGUGGCUGGAGGAACUUGCCUGCUUCAGACUCUGUGUCUCCCUCUCUCUCCACGCCUCCCUCGCUCAGGCUCUGUCUGUCUCUCAAAA
Molecule: long non-coding RNA, 596 nt
Organism: Suricata suricatta (meerkat)
Lineage: Eukaryota; Metazoa; Chordata; Mammalia; Carnivora; Herpestidae
Exons: 3
Source: RefSeq, a predicted model, not a curated record